This 253-nucleotide ribosomal RNA is filed under the name uncultured bacterium. RNAcentral describes it as "partial 16S ribosomal RNA". It matches the Rfam family "Bacterial small subunit ribosomal RNA", at positions 524 to 776 of the family's 1533-position model. The record is from RNAcentral.
UACGUAGGGUCCGAGCGUUGUCCGGAAUUAUUGGGCGUAAAGGGCUCGUAGGCGGUCCGUCACGUUGGGGGUGAAAACUCGGAGCUCAACUCCGAGCCUGCUUCCGAUACGGGCAGACUAGAGGUAGGUAGGGGAGAAUGGAAUUCCCGGUGUAGCGGUGAAAUGCGCAGAUAUCGGGAGGAACACCAGUGGCGAAGGCGGCUACCUGGCCCACUCUUGACGCUGAGGCGCGAAAGCUAGGGGAGCAAACGGG